Molecule: microRNA precursor, 84 nt
Filed under: Bombyx mori (domestic silkworm)
Lineage: Eukaryota; Metazoa; Arthropoda; Insecta; Lepidoptera; Bombycidae
Description: mir-2807 microRNA precursor family
Rfam family: mir-2807 microRNA precursor family
Source: Rfam by way of RNAcentral
UUAACUCCAAUUUGUAUGCAGUUGGAACAGCGCCCCUGGCGGAAAACAUAGGCAAACGUUUCAACUCCAUACAAAUUUAAGUUA